Molecule: ribosomal RNA, 253 nt
Filed under: uncultured bacterium
Lineage: Bacteria
Description: partial 16S ribosomal RNA
Rfam family: Bacterial small subunit ribosomal RNA
Source: RNAcentral
UAAGGAGGGCGCGAGCGUUACCCGGAUUUACUGGGUGUAAAGGGCGUGUAGGCGGUCUCUCAAGUCCGAUGCUAAAGACCGAAGCUCAACUUCGGGGGUGCGUUGGAUACUGUGAGGCUAGACGGUCGGAGAGGGUAGCGGAAUUUCCGGAGUAGCGGUGAAAUGCGCAGAUACCGGAAGGAACGCCAAUAGCGAAAGCAGCUACCUGGACGAUUUGUGACGAUGAGUCGCGAAAGCGUGGGGAGCAAACCGG